This 1008-nucleotide long non-coding RNA is filed under the name Canis lupus familiaris (dog). Its description in RNAcentral is "lncRNA (ENSCAFG00030012508.1)". The record is from RNAcentral. Lineage: Eukaryota; Metazoa; Chordata; Mammalia; Carnivora; Canidae.
AUGAAAAGCAAUAGUAAAUACGAAGCAGGACUUAGAACCGCCGACGACCAGAAGCCUUGCCCUCUCGAAGUUGACCUGACGGUGCAGCAAAUUUUGCCAACCUGCCAGAGAAGCAGCAACUCGAGGAAAAGCAAGCUGCGUGGUUUCUCACCCGGCAAGAAAGCGCUAAAACCCCUUUGGGCCGCGGACCCGCAGCCAAGGUCCCGACCCGAGAUUCCCGAGGCCCUCGGUGGGUGGAGCGAGCUCCGGCAGCAACGCCCAGCCGCGGACGGGCGGGACCGUUCGAAUCUACCCACUGGGUCCGCAGGCCUCCCUCCGCUCCAGCCUCUCCGCCUCGGGAGGCGGCAGGGUGCGCCGGGGCGCGGGGCUUGCGUGCGAGGGCCCCUCGGGCAGAGCCGGCGCGCGGUGGUCCGCAGCCGGGACGGGGCGCGCGGGCGGGCGGGCGCGCGGGCGGGCGGGCGCGCGGGCGGGGGGCCGCGCGGGCGGGCGGGCGCGCGGGGGGGGGGGGGGACGCGGCGCGCGCGCCCCCGCCCCGCCCCUCGCGGGCGCCGCAACCCUGCGCAGCGGGCCUGCGCGUGCUCGUGCCGACCCCUCCUUCGCGCUCCUCGCCUGCGGCCGCUCCGGCGCACGCGCGCGGCCUCGCGCAGGGCGGGGAGAGGCGGCGGCCCCCGGCGGCCGGCCCCGAACCUGUCAGACCCGGGGAGCCGGCCUGGAGCUGCGGGCGCGGCAGGCGCCAGGACGGCCCGGCCCUCCGCGCGGCCCCGGCCCGAGCUGUGCCCGGCGGGGGGCGGGGAGAUGAGCGGCGGCCCCGCGGCGGAGCCCCAGGUAGACGCGCCGCCCCCUCGCGGAGCCCCGGCGCCUCCGGGCCGGCCUGCGCUCCCGCCGCCCGGGGCUUCGGAACUUGUGGGCAGGGUCGGGGCGCCUUGGAUUUAUAACGUGUUUCGUUUUCCACAGGAUGGGGAGGGCCGCGCGGCAGUGCCCUCGGGAACUGGCGCUCCGGUGAAGUAG